AUCAAACUGAUGAGUCCCGAAUAGGACUAAACACACGUUCUGGAU
Molecule: non-coding RNA, 45 nt
Filed under: Schistosoma mattheei
Lineage: Eukaryota; Metazoa; Platyhelminthes; Trematoda; Strigeidida; Schistosomatidae
Source: RNAcentral